RNA transcript from Sorghum bicolor (sorghum), 1077 nucleotides. RefSeq lists it as uncharacterized. NCBI's taxonomy places the organism in Eukaryota, Viridiplantae, Streptophyta, Magnoliopsida, Poales, Poaceae. The record is from RefSeq and is a predicted model, not a curated record. The transcript is spliced from 5 exons.
GCCUCUCCUGUCCUCUUCUUUCUCUACUCCACAUGGCCUAGGUCUUACCCGUCUGCUGCUAUCGCAAUGGAGAAAAAGGCAGCUGAUGUAGUAGUUGGUGAAGCAAUGUAUUCGAGUGGUUGCCCUAUCUGGGCUGAGCCGACAGAUCUCGAGAUUCACGAAGACACGACAGGCGCUUCGCUGUCGACGGAGACAUCGCCUACCACUGAAAGCAUAACGUUGAUAAAUCCUAGAAUAAAUCUAGGAAAAUGCGAGCACCUGUGCCAAGUCAGUGACUUGAACCCGGGUGGACAGGUUCUACCACAAGGAAUCCAACCAACUGAUCCAUGGUCAGUUCGCUGUUCGGAUGAGGACCUGAGGAAGGAGAAAUCAAAAAAAGAAAGAAAAUAAAAAAUUAAAAUAGCAAAGCAAGUCUGCUUGCAGGUAGGCCUUCCAAAGUGCUGGGAUCAAAACAAAACACUCAUGGUUGUCAAAUUAUUCGAAAUGUCAAGGGAGACAACCAGCCUUAUUCAGCGACAGCUGCAAAUGUUCCCAGCGAUUCCACGACACCAAUAAAGAAGAAACCACAAGUCCGCCUGCAGUGCAAGCACAGGCGAUAACUACAACACGAGACUACGAAACUUGCAAUGCCUAAUACAUAUGCAUGUUUAUGGUCUCGUUUGGACCCAACAGCUCAGAUUCCUGGAGAGUUGAUCCGGAGGAGGUCGGCAUCAUGGCUCCCAUUGUCUCCUGGAUAAGCUGCAUUGAUGGUUGGCUCCCUGCCGCGCAGUGCGUAGCGAUUUGGUUCAUCUCUGUGGCAUUCAGAGCUCCAUUGAUGGUUGGCUCUUCAGCUUGCAGUUGCAAUGGCAAUGGGUCUGGCAUGGGCAUGAAGCUGUUGUCAGCCAAAGCAUCGCCUGCUGGGGUGGUAGUGAAAUAGUUGACGAUGUUGUCUUGGAUAUGCACUGGAACAUCAGAGCUGCUGGGAAGCUCUGGAAUGGGUAUGGAGGUCAGUGAGGUCAUCUCUAUGAUCCGCUUUAGGGAGUCCUCUCCCAUCUUCACCUGCAACCAGAUUUUAUAACCAUGUUAACUACACAGACA